Molecule: transfer RNA, 989 nt
Filed under: Bartonella vinsonii subsp. berkhoffii
Lineage: Bacteria; Pseudomonadati; Pseudomonadota; Alphaproteobacteria; Hyphomicrobiales; Bartonellaceae
Rfam family: tRNA (bases 476-549)
Source: RNAcentral
CCUUUCUAAGGAUGAUCAAAAAUUGGGAAAUCCUCUCUUUUUGAUCUCAUUUAGACACGGGUUUAAACUUAUCCGUUUAAACCGUGCAUAUGACACUAACGCUCAACUCUAUACCCUCUCUCAAAAGAGAACCUCUUAACUAAAGAGGCCCUAAUCUCUUGAGGCCCCUACCUCCGAUGAGAUGGUGUUCAUGAGGGCUUAGUGAUCAUGUGUAAAAAUAACAGGCAGGCUUGCCGCCUUCGUUUCUCUUUCUUCAGAUGAUGAUCCCAAGCCUUCUGGCGAUCUCUUAAAAACAAACCUCAUUCUUUAAAAAAAGAGGGCUUUUUAAGAAAACACCCUUUAAGAAAAAGUUUUUUAUAAAAUUAAAGAAAAACUUUCUUGUAAGAGUGUAUUUUUUAUCUAAGAGUUUGCUCUUUUAUUUGAGAGUUUGCUUUUUUAAGAGUUUUCCGGGGAAGGUUUUCCGGUUUAUCCCGGAGGGCUUGUAGCUCAGUUGGUUAGAGCGCGCGCUUGAUAAGCGUGAGGUCGGAGGUUCAAGUCCUCCCAGGCCCACCAAUUUAGAAUUACCAAUUGGAAUUGCUUAACCCACUGUUGAGAAACUCCCUCCUUUAUGAGAGAAAUCUCUAAAAACAAGAGAAAACUCUUGAGAGCCUCAAAUGAUGGAUUUCAAAUUCUCAAUAAGAUUUAAACCCAUCAGAUCUAAAUCAAUAAGGUUUAAAAGUGUUGGUAAAAUGUUCAUAAUAUAUUUUAUAAAAAUAUUAAGAGUUAUGGAGAUAUUAAGAGAUUUUUCGGACACUAUUGAUAAAUCUUGGCAAGAAAAUUGAUAAAUAUCGGGAAAUUGAUAAAAAUCGGUUUAGGGGUUAGCGCUUUCGUUUAGGGGCCGUAGCUCAGCUGGGAGAGCACCUGCUUUGCAAGCAGGGGGUCGUCGGUUCGAUCCCGUCCGGCUCCACCACUUUAGGUCAUCAUCAUUGUUGUGAGAACCGUCUUUAGUG